CUGUGACGAACAAGUGCGUGAGUGGAAAGCUCGCACCCUGACGGUAACAGAGGAGGAAGCCACGGCUAACUACGUGCCAGCAGCCGCGGUAAUACGUAGGUGGCAAGCGUUGUCCGGAAUCACUGGGCGUAAAGCGCGCGCAGGCGGCGAUCUACGUCUGGGGUGAAAGCCCGGAGCUCAACUCCGGGACUGCCUUGGAUACGGGAUCGCUUGAGGAUUGGAGAGGCAAGGGGAAUUCCACGUGUAGCGGUGAAAUGCGUAGAUAUGUGGAGGAACACCUGUGGCGAAGGCGCCUUGCUGGCCAAUUUCUGACGCUGAGGCGCGAAAGCGUGGGGAGCAAACAGGAUUAGAUACCCUGGUAGUCCACGCCGUAAACGAUGAGUGCUAGGUGUUGGGGGGUACCACCCUCAGUGCCGAAGCUAACGCAUUAAGCACUCCGCCUGGGGAGUACGGUCGCAAGACUG
This 464-nucleotide ribosomal RNA is filed under the name uncultured Bacillota bacterium. RNAcentral's name for it is "bacterial SSU rRNA". It matches the Rfam family "Bacterial small subunit ribosomal RNA", at positions 440 to 896 of the family's 1533-position model. Lineage: Bacteria; Bacillati; Bacillota. The record is from RNAcentral.